Long non-coding RNA from Zea mays, 548 nucleotides. RefSeq lists it as uncharacterized. The transcript is spliced from 2 exons. The record is from RefSeq and is a predicted model, not a curated record. NCBI's taxonomy places the organism in Eukaryota, Viridiplantae, Streptophyta, Magnoliopsida, Poales, Poaceae.
CCGAAUGCGGCCGUAUGCGCCUCCGCGCCAAAUCCGCUAGAACCCUGCUAUUUAUACCCAAAUGCGGCGCUCGUUGUGCAUGUUUUUGCGCCCGCACCGGAGCAACAAGAGAACCUCGCCCGCCAUAAGCAAAUCACGCCGAAGUCGCGUCCCUGCAUCCUGACGAAGUUCUCGGCAUCGUCGAUAGGCGGGAGCAACAUUAUCGCACCUUGAAACGCUCACCGGUGUGGGGAUGGAUCACGAAUCCACCCCUCAUCGUGGUCGGGGGUUCUGCGCGUCUACCGCCGGUCAAGAAUAGGCACCGCAGGAUGAGGCGCAUGAAGGAUGUCGCGAUGAUGUUCGUGAGAGGUCUAGGCCGUCGUCUCCCGGUCAACUUUGGUUGCUAGAUCAUUGUCUUCGUAUAAUUUAAUUAUUUAACUAUUUUGUACAAAACUUUGUUAUAUAUUAAUGAUGUGACAUUCGUUUCUGUACCAUGAGUCAUCAUAUGUAUGAGACUUGAUUCCAUCACACGUGUGAGCCGCACCCGAGUUUGGACCCCUAAAUCCGGA